CAGUAGCCGCGGUAAGACGAACCGUGCGAACGUUGUUCGGAAUCACUGGGCUUAAAGGGCGCGUAGGCGGGCUGCCAAGUCUGUGGUGAAAUCCUCCGGCUCAACCGGGGAAGUGCCAUGGAUACUGGCGGCCUCGAGGGAGGUAGGGGCGUACGGAACUGUGGGUGGAGCGGUGAAAUGCGUAGAUAUAGGAAGGAACACCAGUGGCGAAGGCGACCACCUGGACUAAUACUGACACUGAGGUGCGAAAGCGUGGGGAGCAAACAGGAUUAGAUACCCCCGUAGUCCCUGUCUCUUAUAC
Molecule: ribosomal RNA, 301 nt
Filed under: uncultured bacterium
Lineage: Bacteria
Description: partial 16S ribosomal RNA
Rfam family: Bacterial small subunit ribosomal RNA
Source: RNAcentral